CCUACGGGGGGCAGCAGUGAGGAAUAUUGGUCAAUGGGCGCGAGCCUGAACCAGCCAAGUCGCGUGAGGGAUGAAGGUUCUAUGGAUCGUAAACCUCUUUUAUAAGGGAAUAAAGUGUGGUAUGUGUCCUAUUUUGUAUGUACCUUAUGAAUAAGGAUCGGCUAACUCCGUGCCAGCAGCCGCGGUAAUACGGAGGAUCCGAGCGUUAUCCGGAUUUAUUGGGUUUAAAGGGUGCGUAGGCGGCUUGUUAAGUCAGUGGUGAAAGGUUGUGGCUCAACCGUAGAAUUGCCGUUGAAACUGGGGGGCUUGAGUAUGGUAGAGGCAGGCGGAAUGCGUGGUGUAGCGGUGAAAUGCUUAGAUAUCACGCAGAACCCCGAUUGCGAAGGCAGCCUGCCAGGCCAUGACUGACGCUGAUGCACGAAAGCGUGGGGAUCAAACAGGAUUAGAUACCCGUGUAGUC
Molecule: ribosomal RNA, 460 nt
Filed under: uncultured bacterium
Lineage: Bacteria
Description: partial 16S ribosomal RNA
Rfam family: Bacterial small subunit ribosomal RNA
Source: RNAcentral